UGCAGGAAGAUUAGGUGGUCUAGAAGGCUUUCAGUACAAUGGCCUUCAUCAGGCAGGGUAUUGAGUAUAGAGGUUGGGAUAGACACAAAAAGCUGGAGUA
Amblyraja radiata (thorny skate) is the source of this 100-nucleotide long non-coding RNA. RefSeq lists it as uncharacterized. NCBI's taxonomy places the organism in Eukaryota, Metazoa, Chordata, Chondrichthyes, Rajiformes, Rajidae. The record is from RefSeq and is a predicted model, not a curated record. The transcript has 3 exons.